UGAAUACCUGUAUUUUUAUUCUUUCACGUUUUCUGCAGAAUGUACCCACAGAGUGAGCAUCGGUCACUAAUCUUAGGAAGUGUUUCAUUGAUAAUCCUUCUGCAGAGAUCCUUUCAUUUCAUUUCUGUUACUUGGAAUAGCUCGUUUGCUAGACAUUGUGGAUCUUCAGGUGUAAGAGUGCUGAAAAAGGUUUGUAUCAAGUAACUCAAAUACUUCUUCAAAACCUAAGGCAAUACUCAGUACUAUCAUACAGGCUGUUGAGGAAAUAAAAAGAUUUAUUGAAUUUGAAAGACUGUUUGC
Molecule: long non-coding RNA, 300 nt
Filed under: Numida meleagris (helmeted guineafowl)
Lineage: Eukaryota; Metazoa; Chordata; Aves; Galliformes; Numididae
Description: lncRNA (ENSNMEG00000004028.1)
Source: RNAcentral